Molecule: ribosomal RNA, 160 nt
Filed under: uncultured bacterium
Lineage: Bacteria
Description: partial 16S ribosomal RNA
Rfam family: Bacterial small subunit ribosomal RNA
Source: RNAcentral
CGAAACAUGACGAUCUGAUCAGCAUGCCGCGUGAGUGAAGAAGGCCUUCGGGUUGUAAAGCUCUUUUGUCAGGGAAGAACCGGUGAGGGCUAAUAUCCGUCGCUAAUGACGGUACCUGAAGAAUAACCACCGGCUAACUACGUGCCCCAGGCGCGGUUUA